GCUAACCACAGCGAACUCCCCUCCAACCUCCAACUGGAAUGGAAAUGUCGAAAAGCCCUCUCCCUUUAUUUCUGCUAAAGGCCGCCAGGGUGGCUCCCCUCUUGCUCCGCCGGUCAAAGCGGCGUUCCAGUUAACUCUGCUUCGAGCUGUACAAGCAAGGUACCUUGGUACAAGUAGUAAAAGUCCUAAGCGGGAGGCGGAGCGCAUGUGUUGCGCCCGUCGUGUUCGUAAACAAGUGUUAAAUCCUGUGCGGACUAAAUGAUCUUACCGAGGUGUUUUUGUAACAAACACCAAGGUUAUUUAAAUGAGUGGAAAACACUUAUGCUCAUGCGUGGCCAUUUACUUGGAGGAAGGGAACAAAUGGGAUAUCAAUUAUGUAACAAUCUAGUUAUGAACUACUGUAUACGGCUAGUUUUUCUCGAAGGUCUGUUGUUGCUGGUGAAGAUUCCAUACCGCAAAUACAAGGGUCUACUUGUGCCGGGGAAUAUACUGUCCUAACAAUAGCAGAAGUCUCCCCUCCCGCGGGAAGACACUGCCAGCUUGUCAUAUAGUUUAUGGUCCUCAAUUGCGGUUUCGGCGUGGGUUCCCGUUAUCCCAUCCAACAAAGGGAAUUCUCCCAAUAACCGAAACUGGGUGAUGGGACGCGAACAUUUGUUACAGUUCGAAACUGUCCGCACUUUUACGACCACUGAAGACAAGGAAAAGUUUGUUCAACCGUUUUAUUCAAAGCCUGGAUCGCCAUGGUACGUAAGUGGGAAAACCUAACCUGAACUAACCAACUAUCAUCCUACUAUUUACAAGUUCCUCAAUGUCUUGCACAGAGAAGACGCCAUGAAUUUGCACCGUUCAGAGCUAUAUCCAAAUGGGUAAACACGAAAGGCAUCCAAAAAGAUACAGAGACUCCGCUGAGAGGCUGAAGACCCUGUCAAGUACCUACGACCAAGCGCAACUGCUGCAGUACCUUCGAGGCGUUGCCUACAACGUCAUUGUAUAGUUCGCUUAUCUUCUUCCGUUCAUUAAACUAAAGCUUUUGUUCCA
Ornithodoros turicata is the source of this 1038-nucleotide long non-coding RNA. RefSeq lists it as uncharacterized. The transcript has 2 exons. NCBI's taxonomy places the organism in Eukaryota, Metazoa, Arthropoda, Arachnida, Ixodida, Argasidae. The record is from RefSeq and is a predicted model, not a curated record.